This is a long non-coding RNA of Dendronephthya gigantea, 420 nucleotides long. RefSeq lists it as uncharacterized. The record is from RefSeq and is a predicted model, not a curated record. Lineage: Eukaryota; Metazoa; Cnidaria; Anthozoa; Malacalcyonacea; Nephtheidae. The transcript is spliced from 3 exons.
UGGAUCAGGAGGGGUAAUCGUGAUCAAUGGGACAUUCAUUGACGGUACCACUCCUGUUCCUAGUGAACACACCAAUCCUCUUCCAAGAGGUCGUAGAAUUAGUUACGGAGUUGUCAUAGUUAAUGGAACAAGUAAAAACAGACUACCUCUACCAUAUAAGAAAAAUCGAGUAAUAGAUUGGGAAUGUUACAGGGGAGAAAAAGUAUUCAACUACAGCGUUCUACCCGAUUACAGCGUACAACAAACUACGUGCAAUAGUAGAUGCAAGGAUUGUGGUUACCGUUAUGCCGUGCUUCACGUGAAACUUUGCGCAUGCGUAAACGACCUGGGUGAUAUGAUUAAAGUUAAUCGAUCAAAUUGCUCGCUUAGGUGUUUUGGACGCGAGCAGAUGAUAUGUGGAGGUGGCACCAGAUAUUAUGU